Molecule: long non-coding RNA, 3152 nt
Organism: Coturnix japonica (Japanese quail)
Lineage: Eukaryota; Metazoa; Chordata; Aves; Galliformes; Phasianidae
Source: RefSeq, a predicted model, not a curated record
UCCAGGUGCUGCAAUUUGGCCACAACAACCCAGCAUAAUAUUUUGUAAAUAAUUACAAAUAUAUAUUGUAAAAUAACUGUAAAAAGACAACUUGGACACCAACUCUAGUUUCGUGUUAGCACCCUACUAAAAAUAAAAUUAUAAAAAAAAGGCUGACAUAAAGAAUUCACUGAUAAUGAUAAAUUUCAAUUAACUUUCUGGAUUUGAGAAAGAGGUUAUUCAGAAAUGGAAGUAUAAGGUGUCUCCUUAUAACCAUUUGGAACGUCUUGAUUCAAUUUCUAUCCUCCUGAUGUCUCAUCUCCCUGCCACAGACCAGUGAAAAAAGCCUGGCUAUGUCACCCCAGCAUAUCCUGUAGGUACUGACAAACUCCUGUUAGACAUGCCUGACAAACUUGGCUUUUUCUUCAGGCCAGCUCCCUCAGCUUCUCUUCAUCAGUCACUUGUUCCAGGCCCUAGAGGAUGCUGGUGGACUCAACUCCCUCCAGUUUAUCAGUACCUCUCAUACAAUACAAGAGUAUUGGGGGCCUAGAGCUGGAUGUAGCUUCUGUCUAAUAAUAGCUGAGAAAAAGGGGACAACUGCCUGCUAACAUGGGCCAGGAUGCUGCUGACCUCCUUUCUGCAGGGGCACACAGCUUGCUCAGGAUCAGUGUGCCAUCCACCAGCACACAGCCCCUUCUCCACAGAGCUGCUCCCCUGCCAGCCAGUCCCCAGCUGAGCUGCUGCUAGUUGUGGCCUCCAGGGGCAGGAUGUUAGGCCAUAUGAUUAAAGGCUCAUCCUCUGCCCCAGGGAGAUGUAAAGAAGCCCAAUAAUACAAGGAGCAUGCACGGAGCACUCCAACCAGGCUACUCUCCUGGUUACCAAAGAGGACAGUCAGCCCAUAACCUGUGUAUCAGAACACACACAGGAGGGGGUCAACACUGCUCAAACUGCCUUACCCACUGAGGGACACCGAUGUAUUCAGGGCUCAUUAAGGAAUGAUGUAGAAGAGCAUUUGGGAGCUGUACAAGAUCUAUGUUAUAUUUAAGGGGAAGACCAAAAGCUGGGAAAAGAAGGGAGCAAAGUAGACUGAGAAGGAACAAGCACAGGGGAAUAAACGGGUCAGACACUUGUAAAUGGGUUGCCUGGAGCCUAAUCACUGCAGUCUGUCCUGUCUGUGCAGCUCUGAGCACCAGCACUUGCAGCUCAUGUCCUGGUGUCACUAACAGGGGAGGUACCAGACAGACUGUAUGUCUGAGACCUGCAGGGUCCUAUACUAUGUACAUGCAUCUGAAAAAGUAACAGGCUAUCAGCUAACAAGCUUUCACUCUGAUCAGCCACAAAGGGAAACAGCAUGAGGUGGCUGACACUGUUAUGUCUGUAAGUUCUGUUUUCUGCCUGCACUGACCUGUAUGUCAGCAGUGUAAUUGUACAUACAAGUGCCUUUGGGAAAACACAUACAGACCUACAGCUGCAGCAGCCUUCCUUCUAGCAGGCUGUUUCCUUGCUUUCUGUUACCUCACACAGUUCCCUGUUAGUCAGCUGCUCAGUACAGCCCCACCACACCGGGUGUCACAAAAACUCCCACUGCUCCACAUCUGAUGCAGCACCUGGGAAAGGUCCUGGCCAGCACUGGGAGCACAGGGGAGGCAAUUCAGCUCUGUGACCGUGAGAGAUGGGCUCCACCCCUCUCGGACCUCAUUUAAGGGCUGCCUGCCACCCUUUAAAUGGGAGCCACGCCCGGAAGAAGCCCUUGAUCGCCGACGUCAGCUGCUUCGGAGCCGUCCCGGUCGGCUGCGUGGUUGGGGGGGGGGUUUGGAAGGUUCUUUCACCCAGGGAACCCCGAGCAAACGGAGCAGCCCGGCAGCUCUCGAGAGAGUGUACAGGUCUCUGGCUGCACUGAGUGCAUGAGCCUGGCGCUUCCUGGGCUGGGUGAAGGAGGCAGCGACUGUGUAUGAUGUGACCAGGUAAACUACUUACUCAGCCUUGUAGCUGACCUAAAGGAAGAGGUGGAGAGGCUGCAGAGCAUAAAGGACUCUGAGAGGGAGAUUGAUUGCUGCUAUCAAACCCUAUCAGCCCCUAGUUCCUGGCGGCUGUGUGAGGAAGAAACUUCCUUCCCUAGUUUGGUGCACUGAUUACUAUCCCCUGUUACUAUUCCAGGUUGGUAGUGAUGAUCUUGGAAGAACUUCCAUAAGGACUCCAAAAAAGGAUUUCAGAGCCUUGGGGCAACAGGUGCAGGAGCUGACCAUCCCAAAAUCAUGAAAGACGAGCUGAUGGGCAAGGAGGCCGGGCUGGCUGACCAGAGAUCUUUGGCUUGAUCUCAAGAACAAAAAGAAAGUUUAUGGUCUCUGGAAGAGAGGACGUGCUACUUAUGAGGAUUACAGCAGUCUUGGCUGACUGGGGAUGUCCUGGUGCAUUGGAGGCUGGUGAAUGUGAUGCCCAUCUUCAAAAAGGGUCGGAAAGAUGAUCCUGGCAGCUACAGGCCCAUCAGUCUCACCUUGGUGCCUGGGAAAAUGUUAUGGACUGGAUAAUCUCAGGAACCAUCAUGGAUCAACUAAAGACCACCAGGUCAGCAAUUCCCCACCUGGCUCUGGUGCAUCAGGCAAGUCCCAACAAAGCCCCUGUGCUCAGAAACAGCAGGGGUGGACAGAGAUCCUAUCUUCAAGAGCACAUGAGAGAAGACUGCCAGCAAGGCCUUGUUCUGGUUUCUUCAAAGAACAUAUAAAAACCUACACCUAUGCAGAACAUGGGGAUCUGGUAAGCAAAUAUCAGCUGUAAGAAGUUAUCACUCACUCAGAAGAAGCAGUAAGAAGCACAAACUAACCCAAAUGGAACAUUAACGUAAAAGAGCUGCUGCUUCUGAAACUGGAGAGGAAAGCAUUCUGGCCAAUCCCAGCUGCACACAGAAGCAAUGAUCAAGGUGCACAGCUGAGUGACCAACAAGCAGCUCUAUGCUCACUUCUGAUAUUCACCAUUAACAGAAGACAAUAACCUACUGAGAAGAAGCUUUCAGUUCUCCAAGUUGUGUUUGUUCCACUUACUUUACACAACCUCCCCUUUGAACAUCAAACUGUAAAUGGAGGUUUACUGCUCAACCAGAAAAGCUGUGCACAGAACAGGUUAUAUACCUCAGGAUCUUGAUAAUAACAUUUAAAUAAAUCCUUUCGACUCUCUCA